GUCCCAGGCCAAUAGGCCCAGUUGCUUUCGGCACGGAGAUUAAGAAAGUCAAUUUUUGGUAGGUAAAUGGUGUGGUCCACCAACAAUUAAUGUUUUAAGUGUUCUCUUAUUUUCCUUAAUCACAUUUGUUCAAUUAAUCGAAUUCAGCAACAAUCAAAUGCUUAACAGAAACUGAGAAAUCAAACUUUCAAUUAAUCGAAUCUGCAACAAUCAGCAACAAUCGAAAUUUAGCAACAAUCAAAAUGCUUCAAUUAAUCGAAUCUGCAAAUGAAGACGAAAAUGAGAGAGAGAGAAACUUUCAGCAAAUGAAGACGAAAAUGAGGGAGAGAGAAACUUUCAGCAAAUGAAGACGAAAAUGAGAGAGAGAAACUUUCAGCAAAGUUUCUACCAAAUCAAAAUGAAGACGAAUCUACAAUCAAAAUGAAAUCGAAUCUACAGCAAUCAAACUUUCAGAAACUUUCUACCAAAUCAAAAACCCUAAAUCAAGAGCUUAGAGGCGGCGGUGGAGACGGAGAACGGCGGCGGUGGGGGUUCCGAACCGUCCACCGACAAAGGAGAGGCGGCGGCGGCACAGCAGGGGCUGUAGUCUUGAGGCGGCGGCGGAUCUGUGUGGCCGGAGCUCUGGAGAGUCAGUGGCGCCGCUCGUUGUUGAGAGAGAGAGAAGGGGGAGGGGGCGGCGGUGACGGAAGAGCGGCGAAGACCGGAAGAGAGAAGAGAGAAGAGAAGGAGAGCAGCGGAGGCCGCCAUGGCCGGGAGAGGGGAGAAGGAGAGCAGCGGAGGCGGUGGAAAUGACGGCGGCGGUGAGGGUGAUCGUGGUGGUGGUCGACGGUCGAAGAUGGAAUGUGGGUGAGAGAGAGGGUGAAGACGAGAAGAGAGAAGAGAGAAGAGAGAAGAGAGAUGCAAGAUAGAAAGAGAAAGAAGGAGUGAAUGAUUU
Salvia miltiorrhiza (redroot sage) is the source of this 934-nucleotide long non-coding RNA. RefSeq lists it as uncharacterized. The record is from RefSeq and is a predicted model, not a curated record. The transcript is spliced from 2 exons. Lineage: Eukaryota; Viridiplantae; Streptophyta; Magnoliopsida; Lamiales; Lamiaceae.